AUGAGCAUCAGAGUUUGGAGUGAGAUAAAACUGGACCAGUCUCCAUCGCAGGUGAAAACACCUGGAGGGACGGUGAAGAUGUCAUGUGUCAUAUCUGGGUACUCCAUGACUUCCUACAAUAUACACUGGAUACGGCAGAGGCCGGGGGAAGCUUUGGAGUGGAACGGGUGGAUGAACACAGGUUCAAACUCUGCCACCUAUGGCAGCUCCUUUCAAAACCGUUUCAUCAUGACUGAGGAUGUUUCCAGCAGCACUCAGUUCCUUCAGGUCGAGAGUCUGAAAGCAGAAGAUGCUGCUGUUUACUACUGUGCUCGAGACCCACAGUGA
Platichthys flesus (European flounder) is the source of this 327-nucleotide non-coding RNA. Lineage: Eukaryota; Metazoa; Chordata; Actinopteri; Pleuronectiformes; Pleuronectidae. The record is from the annotation of a RefSeq genome assembly.